RNAcentral lists this ribosomal RNA (388 nucleotides) under uncultured bacterium. RNAcentral describes it as "bacterial SSU rRNA". It matches the Rfam family "Bacterial small subunit ribosomal RNA", at positions 29 to 416 of the family's 1533-position model. The record is from RNAcentral.
AUUGAACGCUGGCGGCAUGCCUUACACAUGCAAGUCGAACGGCAGCACGGGGGCAACCCUGGUGGCGAGUGGCGAACGGGUGAGUAAUACAUCGGAACGUGCCCAGUAGUGGGGGAUAGCCCGGCGAAAGCCGGAUUAAUACCGCAUACGACCUACGGGUGAAAGCGGGGGAUCGCAAGACCUCGUGCUACCGGAGCGGCCGAUGUCAGAUUAGGUUGUUGGUGGGGUAAAAGCCUACCAAGCCGACGAUCUGUAGCUGGUCUGAGAGGACGACCAGCCACACUGGGACUGAGACACGGCCCAGACUCCUACGGGAGGCAGCAGGUGGGGUAAUUUUGGACAAUGGGCGCAAGCCUGAUCCAGCCAUGCCGCGUGCGGGAAGAAGGCC